This 404-nucleotide ribosomal RNA is filed under the name uncultured bacterium. RNAcentral's name for it is "bacterial SSU rRNA". It matches the Rfam family "Bacterial small subunit ribosomal RNA", at positions 355 to 775 of the family's 1533-position model. The record is from RNAcentral.
CAGGGAAUAUUAGUUAAUGUGCGAAAGCGCGAACUAGCAACGCCGCGUGUGCGAUGAAGGCCUUCGGGUUGUAAAGCACUUUUCUAAGGGAUGAGGAAGGACAGUACCUUAGGAAUAAGCCUCGGCUAACUACGUGCCAGCAGCCGCGGUAAAACGUAGGAGGCGAGCGUUAUCCGGAUUUACUGGGCGUAAAGCGCGUGCAGGCGGUUUGGUAAGUUGGAUGUGAAAGCUCCUGGCUUAACUGGGAGAGGUCGUUCAAUACUGUCAGACUUGAGGAUGGUAGAGGGAGAUGGAAUUCCGGGUGUAGUGGUGAAAUGCGUAGAUAUCCGGAGGAACACCAGUGGCGAAAGCGAUCUCCUGGACCAUUUCUGACGCUCAGACGCGAAAGCUAGGGUAGCAAACGG